This 301-nucleotide ribosomal RNA is filed under the name uncultured bacterium. RNAcentral's name for it is "partial 16S ribosomal RNA". It matches the Rfam family "Bacterial small subunit ribosomal RNA", at positions 509 to 807 of the family's 1533-position model. The record is from RNAcentral.
CAGUCGCCACGGUAAUACGAAGGGUGCAAGCGUUAAUCGGAAUUACUGGGCGUAAAGCGUGCGUAGGCGGUGAGUUAAGUCUGCUGUGAAAUCCCCGGGCUCAACCUGGGAAUGGCAGUGGAUACUGGCUCGCUAGAGUGUGUCAGAGGGGGGUAGAAUUCCACGUGUAGCAGUUAAAUGCGUAGAGAUGUGGAGGAAUACCGAUGGCGGAGGCAGCCCCCUGGGCCAAUACUGACGCUCAUGCACGAAAGCGUGGGGAGCAAACAGGAUUAGAUACCCCCGUAGUCCCUGUCUCUUAUAC